Triticum urartu is the source of this 594-nucleotide non-coding RNA. Lineage: Eukaryota; Viridiplantae; Streptophyta; Magnoliopsida; Poales; Poaceae. The record is from RefSeq and is a predicted model, not a curated record.
UUUAUUACUAUCUGAAGUUUGAUUCAUCCGCAAGCACUCAUUUUAUUUAUUGCAGAGGCUAGGUGAGCAAUUUAAAACAGAUCAAUAUCCUAGCCGUGAUGCUAUGAAUGAGGGUAUGCCAUCUGGAAUUCUGAUCGAAGGUAUCACACAAGAUGGUCCACUGAAGCACGUCAUUGGUGUUGGGCCUAGAACAAAUGUGAGCCCUCCAAAUUGCAGUAAAAGAUAUACCAUACAUUAUGUUAGGCGCCGGAAAGGCGAGUCCUCCAGAGAGAAUAAUGGGAAGAAUAGCUCCGCAAGCAGUGCUGGAAGGCCAAAAGGUGGCGAUGAAGAGUAUUCAGUCCUGGCUCUGUAAGUAGUGAAUGAGAAAACAAGAAACAAAAUGCUGCCGGAGCUAAAGAAGAGGAAGAUUGGCUGAAAUUCUAAACCCACAACGUAUCGUGGCAACAGCGCACUGUUAUGGUUGACAAUGGAAGACACUGGACGUUUCAUUGUGCCUUCCGUCACUGUAGAAGCAUGCACAUGUGCUGUCAUUGGUUGUGUACAGUGUUGUUUCUGUUGUUUUCUAAUUACCUAGAUAAGUAACUAGUUUCUUUA